RNAcentral lists this long non-coding RNA (1319 nucleotides) under Equus caballus (horse). RNAcentral's name for it is "lncRNA (ENSECAG00000051107.1)". The record is from RNAcentral. Lineage: Eukaryota; Metazoa; Chordata; Mammalia; Perissodactyla; Equidae.
CAAUGGAGCUCUAGUUCCAGGAGAUUGAGGAAGAGAAGGGGCAGUCUAAGGGAGAGGAAGAGGUGCCGUAUUGAACACAGGUGUCACAGUCAGAGGAAAGGGGGUUGCGGGCACUGACUCUGCAGAUGGGAAAGAUAUGGCUGGUGACUGGAUAUUUGGCUUAGAGACCAGCCCCAACCACUUUCCUUCUACCUUUAACUAAGAGCAAGGCUCAAAGCAUGGGAGAAAAUCUUGAGAGGGAUGAUUGUAACAUGAAAUGAGGAGCACACUGAAGCAUUUCGGGGUGAAGGGCCAUCAUAUCUGCAGCUUCUUCUCAAACAGUUGAGGGAAAAAGUAAUGUAUAUACAUAUUGAGAGAGAGAGAAAAGAAGCAUCGCGGUGAAAUGGAAUCUGCGACUUUUUCUUCAGCACCAACAUGUCGUUGUUAAAUCUUGGAUCAAGUUCUAUGUGAACACAGAAUUUGGCCUUGCCAGGUAGCCCUGACUAGGAGUGAUAUUUAGUUUUACUUAAUUUACGGAAAACAGCUGUUUAAAAACCUAGGCAUUUUCAAACAUGAUUUUCAAAAAUCUUUGCACAAUUGUUAAGAUAUCUACAGGAGCUUGGCGUUCUGGUGUCACUGCACUAAAUGUUCCAUCCCGUAUUACACUGCACAUCAUCUUUUACACGAUUGGUAAGGACUGGUAAAGGAGCACCAAGCAGUGGGAGGUUAUCUUCAGAGUUUGAAAUCAAAUCUGGGAAGUCAGUUUCCACUGUAUCACAAUUUCCAUCACUGGGUUCAGGCCAUCAGUUACAGUUCCAGAAGCUAAUUUUAGCAUAGAAAAGAGAACUGAAUAACUACACCAGAUAACUUUCUCCAUAAUGUCUUAUAGCUACUGUGGAUGUCUUUGCAGGGAAAUAUCCAAAGUGUUUGUCAACCCGAAAGGCCACUUACGUGAUAACGGCCUUUGCAGCUUAGCAUAAGCAAAGAUUUUUUUUUUCCUCAGAAGAUGUGAAUGAGUUUAUUUCAACAGUUCAACACCUCUCCUUAGUGUUCUGCCAUGACUAGGCCUCCCAACCUACGUGCAGUGAGCAGACUCCUGUCUUACGUGUCCAAUUCAUCAAACAGCACCCGGAACACUCUAUGGCCCAAGUCCCAGGAGGAGAUCCAGCUUGCAGGUGGUGAGCUCUGUGUCCAUGACAUGUUCCAUUUUUAACUUCUAGCAGAAAGCAAUUCCUGCUGAAGGAAACAAAUGAGUGGAUGUAAAGUCUGUGUCCUUACAUAACCUGCCACAUGGAACUUCAGUUUUAUUGCAAGUCCAAUAUUAACACCAUCUAUCCCAG